UCGGGAAUUUUGGGCAAUGGGCGAAAGCCUGACCCAGCAACGCCGCGUGAAGGAUGAAGUAUUUCGGUAUGUAAACUUCGAAAGAAUAGGAAGAAUAAAUGACGGUACUAUUUAUAAGGUCCGGCUAACUACGUGCCAGCAGCCGCGGUAAUACGUAGGGACCAAGCGUUGUUCGGAUUUACUGGGCGUAAAGGGCGCGUAGGCGGCAUGACAAGUCACUUGUGAAAUCUCUGGGCUUAACCCAGAACGGCCAAGUGAUACUGUCGCGCUAGAGUGCAGAAGGGGCAAUCGGAAUUCUUGGUGUAGCGGUGAAAUGCGUAGAUAUCAAGAGGAACACCUGAGGUGAAGACGGGUUGCUGGGCUGACUACUGACGCUGAGGCGCGAAAGCCAGGGGAGCAAACGGGAUUAGAUACCCUAGUAGUCCCUGAGCGGGCUGGCAAGGCGCAU
RNAcentral lists this ribosomal RNA (448 nucleotides) under uncultured bacterium. Its description in RNAcentral is "bacterial SSU rRNA". It matches the Rfam family "Bacterial small subunit ribosomal RNA", at positions 355 to 825 of the family's 1533-position model. The record is from RNAcentral.